AACGCACAUUGCGCCCGCCAGUAUUCUGGCGGGCAUGCCUGUUCGAGCGUCAUUUCAACCAUCAAGCCCCAGGCUUGUGUUGGAGCCCUGCGGCUGCCGCAGCCUCCCAAAACCAGUGGCGGGCUCGCUAUCACACCGAGUGCAGUAGUUUACUCUUCGCUCAGGGCGUGUGGCGGGUGCUGGCCGUGAAACCCCCUACUUCUCAAGGUUGACCUCGGAUCAGGUAGGAAUACCCGCUGAACUUAA
This 246-nucleotide unclassified non-coding RNA is filed under the name uncultured Sordariales. RNAcentral describes it as "sequence contains 5.8S rRNA gene, ITS2, 28S rRNA gene". The stretch from base 1 to 52 matches the Rfam family "5.8S ribosomal RNA", at positions 103 to 154 of the family's 154-position model. The record is from RNAcentral. Lineage: Eukaryota; Fungi; Ascomycota; Sordariomycetes; Sordariales.